This 521-nucleotide ribosomal RNA is filed under the name uncultured bacterium. Its description in RNAcentral is "bacterial SSU rRNA". It matches the Rfam family "Bacterial small subunit ribosomal RNA", at positions 988 to 1509 of the family's 1533-position model. The record is from RNAcentral.
CCAGAGAACUUUCCAGAGAUGGAUUGGUGCCUUCGGGAACUCUGAGACAGGUGCUGCAUGGCUGUCGUCAGCUCGUGUUGUGAAAUGUUGGGUUAAGUCCCGNAACGAGCGCAACCCUUAUCCUUUGUUGCCAGCGGUUAGGCCGGGAACUCAAAGGAGACUGCCAGUGAUAAACUGGAGGAAGGUGGGGAUGACGUCAGGUCAUCAUGGCCCUUACGAGUAGGGCUACACACGUGCUACAAUGGCGCAUACAAAGAGAAGCGACCUCGCGAGAGCAAGCGGACCUCAUAAAGUGCGUCGUAGUCCGGAUUGGAGUCUGCAACUCGACUCCAUGAAGUCGGAAUCGCUAGUAAUCGUGGAUCAGAAUGCCACGGUGAAUACGUUCCCGGGCCUUGUACACACCGCCCGUCACACCAUGGGAGUGGGUUGCAAAAGAAGUAGGUAGCUUAACCUUCGGGAGGGCGCUUACCACUUUGUGAUUCAUGACUGGGGUGAAGUCGUAACAAGGUAAGCGUAGUGCU